This 440-nucleotide ribosomal RNA is filed under the name uncultured bacterium. Its description in RNAcentral is "partial 16S ribosomal RNA". It matches the Rfam family "Bacterial small subunit ribosomal RNA", at positions 338 to 795 of the family's 1533-position model. The record is from RNAcentral.
CCUACGGGAGGCAGCAGUGGGGAAUAUUGCACAAUGGGGGAAACCCUGAUGCAGCGACGCCGCGUGAGUGAAGAAGCGUUUCGGCAUGUAAAGCCCUAUCAGCAGGGAAGAAGAUGACGGUACCUGACCAAGAAGCCCCGGCUAACUACGUGCCAGCAGCCGCGGUAAUACGUAGGGGGCAAGCGUUAUCCGGAUUUACUGGGUGUAAAGGGGGCGUAGACGGCCAGGCAAGCCAGGUGUGAAAGCCCGGGGCUCAACCCCGGGAAUGCUUUUGUAACUGGAUGGCUGGAGUACAGGAGGGGCAGGUGGAAUUCCUAGUGUAGCGGUGAAAUGCGUAGAUAUUAGGAGGAACACCAGUGGCGAAGGCGGCCUGCUGGACUGUGACUGACGUUGAGGCUCGAAGGCGUGGGGAGCAAACAGGAUUAGAUACCCGAGUAGUC